Molecule: ribosomal RNA, 499 nt
Filed under: uncultured Glomeromycotina
Lineage: Eukaryota; Fungi; Glomeromycota
Description: partial small subunit ribosomal RNA
Rfam family: Eukaryotic small subunit ribosomal RNA
Source: RNAcentral
CCAAUAGCGUAUAUUAAAGUUGUUGCAGUUAAAAAGCUCGUAGUUGAAUUUCGAGACCGGUCUACUGGUCGUGCUUUUGUACGUACUGGUUUUAUUGGUUUCUCCUUUCUGACGAACUAUAAUGCCAUUAAUUUGGUGUUAUGGGGAAUCAGGACUGUUACUUUGAAAAAAUUAGAGUGUUUAAAGCAGGCUCACGCUUGAAUACAUUAGCCUGGAAUAACGAAAUAGGACGUUUGAUUUUAUUUUGUUGGUUUCUAGGAUCGACGUAAUGAUUAAUAGUGAUAGUUGGGGGCGUUAGUAUUCAAUUGUCAGAGGUGAAAUUCUUGGAUUUAUUGAAGACUAACUACUGCGAAAGCAUUUGCCAAGGAUGUUUUCAUUAAUCAAGAACGAAAGUUAGGGGAUCGAAGACGAUCAGAUACCGUCGUAGUCUUAACCAUAAACUAUGCCGACUAGGGAUCGGAUGAUGUUAAUUUUUUAAUGACUCAUUCGGCGCCUUACG